GACGAACGCUGGCGGCGUGCUUAACACAUGCAAGUCGAACGAUGAAGCGGUGCUUGCACCGUGGAUUAGUGGCGAACGGGUGAGUAAUACGUGAGUGACCUACCUUUGACUCUGGGAUAAGCCUGGGAAACUGGGUCUAAUACCGGAUACGACCAAUCUCUGCAUGGGGUGUUGGUGGAAAGCGUUAUGGAGUGGUUUUAGAUGGGCUCACGGCCUAUCAGCUUGUUGGUGAGGUAAUGGCUUACCAAGGCGACGACGGGUAGCCGGCCUGAGAGGGUGACCGGCCACACUGGGACUGAGACACGGCCCAGACUCCUACGGGAGGCAGCAGUGGGGAAUAUUGCACAAUGGGCGCAAGCCUGAUGCAGCGACGCCACGUGAGGGAUGACGGCCUUCGGGUUGUAAACCUCUGUUAGCAUCGAAGAAGCGAAAGUGACGGUAGGUGCAGAGAAAGCGCCGGCUAACUACGUGCCAGCAGCCGCGGUAAUACGUAGGGCGCGAGCGUUGUCCGGAAUUAUUGGGCGUAAAGAGCUUGUAGGCGGUUGGUCGCGUCUGCUGUGAAGGCCGGGGCUUAACUCCGGUUUUGCAGUGGGUACGGGCUAACUAGAGUGCAGUAGGGGAGACUGGAAUUCCUGGUGUAGCGGUGGAAUGCACAGAUAUCAGGAGGAACACCGAUGGCGAAGGCAGGUCUCUGGGCUGUAACUGACGCUGAGAAGCGAAAGCAUGGGGAGCGAACAGGAUUAGAUACCCUGGUAGUCCAUGCCGUAAACGUUGGGCACUAGGUGUGGGGGACAUUCCACGUUUUCCGCGCCGUAGCUAACGCAUUAAGUGCCCCGCCUGGGGAGUACGGCCGCAAGGCUAAAACUCAAAGGAAUUGACGGGGGCCCGCACAAGCGGCGGAGCAUGCGGAUUAAUUCGAUGCAACGCGAAGAACCUUACCAAGGCUUGACAUGCAUUAGAUCGCGUCAGAGAUGGCGUUUCCCUUCGGGGCUGGUGUACAGGUGGUGCAUGGUUGUCGUCAGCUCGUGUCGUGAGAUGUUGGGUUAAGUCCCGCAACGAGCGCAACCCUCGUUCUAUGUUGCCAGCGGUUCGGCCGGGGACUCAUAGGAGACUGCCGGGGUCAACUCGGAGGAAGGUGGGGAUGACGUCAAAUCAUCAUGCCCCUUAUGUCUUGGGCUUCACGCAUGCUACAAUGGCCGGUACAGAGGGUUGCGAUACUGUGAGGUGGAGCUAAUCCCUUAAAGCCGGUCUCAGUUCGGAUUGGGGUCUGCAACUCGACCCCAUGAAGUCGGAGUCGCUAGUAAUCGCAGAUCAGCAACGCUGCGGUGAAUACGUUCCCGAGCCU
This 1345-nucleotide ribosomal RNA is filed under the name uncultured bacterium. RNAcentral's name for it is "bacterial SSU rRNA". It matches the Rfam family "Bacterial small subunit ribosomal RNA", at positions 28 to 1381 of the family's 1533-position model. The record is from RNAcentral.